AACAUCUCAGUUCAGAUUGCAGGCUGCAACUCGCCUGCAUGAAGUCGGAAUUGCUAGUAAUCGUAGGUCAGCAUACUACGGUGAAUACGUUCCCGGGCCUUGUACACACCGCCCGUCAAACCAUGAGAGUUGGCAACACCCGAAGUCGGUAGUCUAACCGCAAGGAGGACGCCGCCGAAGGUGGGGUUGAUGAUUAGGGUUAAGUCGUAACAAGGUACC
RNAcentral lists this ribosomal RNA (219 nucleotides) under uncultured bacterium. Its description in RNAcentral is "partial 16S ribosomal RNA". It matches the Rfam family "Bacterial small subunit ribosomal RNA", at positions 1282 to 1500 of the family's 1533-position model. The record is from RNAcentral.